UUAAGCGACUAAGCGUACACGGUGGAUGCCCUGGCAGUCAGAGGCGAUGAAGGACGUGCUAAUCUGCGAAAAGCGUCGGUAAGGUGAUAUGAACCGUUACAGCCGGCGAUGUCCGAAUGGGGAAACCCAGUGCAAUUCGUUGCACUAUCGUUAACUGAAUACAUAGGUUAACGAGGCGAACCGGGGGAACUGAAACAUCUAAGUACCCCGAGGAAAAGAAAUCAACCGAGAUUCCCCCAGUAGCGGCGAGCGAACGGGGAGCAGCCCAGAGUCUGAAUCAGCUUGUGUGUUAGUGGAACGGUCUGGAAAGUCCGACGGUACAGGGUGAUAGUCCCGUACACCAAAAUGCACAGGCUGUGAACUCGAAGAGUAGGGCGGGACACGUGGUAUCCUGUCUGAAUAUGGGGGGACCAUCCUCCAAGGCUAAAUACUCCUGACUGACCGAUAGUGAACCAGUACCGUGAGGGAAAGGCGAAAAGAACCCCGGCGAGGGGAGUGAAAAAGAACCUGAAACCGUGUACGUACAAGCAGUGGGAGCACCUUUAUGGUGUGACUGCGUACCUUUUGUAUAAUGGGUCAGCGACUUAUAUUCUGUAGCAAGGUUAACCGUAUAGGGGAGCCGCAGGGAAACCGAGUCUUAACUGGGCGUUAAGUUGCAGGGUAUAGACCCGAAACCCGGUGAUCUAGCCAUGGGCAGGUUGAAGGUUGGGUAACACUAACUGGAGGACCGAACCGACUAAUGUUGAAAAAUUAGCGGAUGACUUGUGGCUGGGGGUGAAAGGCCAAUCAAACCGGGAGAUAGCUGGUUCUCCCCGAAAGCUAUUUAGGUAGCGCCUCGUGAACUCAUCUUCGGGGGUAGAGCACUGUUUCGGCUAGGGGGUCAUCCCGACUUACCAACCCGAUGCAAACUACGAAUACCGAAGAAUGUUAUCACGGGAGACACACGGCGGGUGCUAACGUCCGUCGUGAAGAGGGAAACAACCCAGACCGCCAGCUAAGGUCCCAAAGUCAUGGUUAAGUGGGAAACGAUGUGGGAAGGCACAGACAGCCAGGAUGUUGGCUUAGAAGCAGCCAUCAUUUAAAGAAAGCGUAAUAGCUCACUGGUCGAGUCGGCCUGCGCGGAAGAUGUAACGGGGCUAAACCAUGCACCGAAGCUGCGGCAGCGACACGAUGUGUUGUUGGGUAGGGGAGCGUUCUGUAAGCCUGCGAAGGUGGCCUGUGAGGGCUGCUGGAGGUAUCAGAAGUGCGAAUGCUGACAUAAGUAACGAUAAAGCGGGUGAAAAGCCCGCUCGCCGGAAGACCAAGGGUUCCUGUCCAACGUUAAUCGGGGCAGGGUGAGUCGACCCCUAAGGCGAGGCCGAAAGGCGUAGUCGAUGGGAAACAGGUUAAUAUUCCUGUACUUGGUGUUACUGCGAAGGGGGGACGGAGAAGGCUAUGUUAGCCGGGCGACGGUUGUCCCGGUUUAAGCAUGUAGGCUGGUUAUCCAGGCAAAUCCGGAUAAUCAAGGCUGAGGUGUGAUGACGAGGCACUACGGUGCUGAAGUAACAAAUGCCCUGCUUCCAGGAAAAGCCUCUAAGCAUCAGGUAACAUCAAAUCGUACCCCAAACCGACACAGGUGGUCAGGUAGAGAAUACCAAGGCGCUUGAGAGAACUCGGGUGAAGGAACUAGGCAAAAUGGUGCCGUAACUUCGGGAGAAGGCACGCUGGUGUGUAGGUGAAGCCCCUGCGGGUGGAGCUGAGACCAGUCGAAGAUACCAGCUGGCUGCAACUGUUUAUUAAAAACACAGCACUGUGCAAACACGAAAGUGGACGUAUACGGUGUGACGCCUGCCCGGUGCCGGAAGGUUAAUUGAUGGGGUUAUCCGUAAGGAGAAGCUCUUGAUCGAAGCCCCGGUAAACGGCGGCCGUAACUAUAACGGUCCUAAGGUAGCGAAAUUCCUUGUCGGGUAAGUUCCGACCUGCACGAAUGGCGUAAUGAUGGCCAGGCUGUCUCCACCCGAGACUCAGUGAAAUUGAACUCGCUGUGAAGAUGCAGUGUACCCGCGGCAAGACGGAAAGACCCCGUGAACCUUUACUAUAGCUUGACACUGAACAUUGAGCCUUGAUGUGUAGGAUAGGUGGGAGGCUUUGAAGCGUGGACGCCAGUCUGCGUGGAGCCAACCUUGAAAUACCACCCUUUAAUGUUUGAUGUUCUAACGUUGGCCCCUUAUCGGGGUUGCGGACAGUGUCUGGUGGGUAGUUUGACUGGGGCGGUCUCCUCCCAAAGCGUAACGGAGGAGCACGAAGGUUAGCUAAUCCUGGUCGGACAUCAGGAGGUUAGUGCAAUGGCAUAAGCUAGCUUGACUGCGAGCGUGACGGCGCGAGCAGGUGCGAAAGCAGGUCAUAGUGAUCCGGUGGUUCUGAAUGGAAGGGCCAUCGCUCAACGGAUAAAAGGUACUCCGGGGAUAACAGGCUGAUACCGCCCAAGAGUUCAUAUCGACGGCGGUGUUUGGCACCUCGAUGUCGGCUCAUCACAUCCUGGGGCUGAAGUAGGUCCCAAGGGUAUGGCUGUUCGCCAUUUAAAGUGGUACGCGAGCUGGGUUUAGAACGUCGUGAGACAGUUCGGUCCCUAUCUGCCGUGGGCGCUGGAGAAUUGAGGGGGGCUGCUCCUAGUACGAGAGGACCGGAGUGGACGCAUCACUGGUGUUCGGGUUGUCAUGCCAAUGGCACUGCCCGGUAGCUAAAUGCGGAAGAGAUAAGUGCUGAAAGCAUCUAAGCACGAAACUUGCCCCGAGAUGAGUUCUCCCUGAGACUUUAAGUCUCCUGAAGGAACGUUGAAGACGACGACGUUGAUAGGCCGGGUGUGUAAGCGCAGCGAUGCGUUGAGCUAACCGGUACUAAUGAACCGUGAGGCUUAACCUU
Molecule: ribosomal RNA, 2901 nt
Filed under: Klebsiella pneumoniae
Lineage: Bacteria; Pseudomonadati; Pseudomonadota; Gammaproteobacteria; Enterobacterales; Enterobacteriaceae
Also listed under: 1 other name
Description: bacterial LSU rRNA
Rfam family: Bacterial large subunit ribosomal RNA
Source: RNAcentral